UGUCAUGGAGUUGCUCUCUUUC
Molecule: microRNA, 22 nt
Filed under: Tetranychus urticae (two-spotted spider mite)
Lineage: Eukaryota; Metazoa; Arthropoda; Arachnida; Trombidiformes; Tetranychidae
Description: tur-miR-281-3p
Gene: tur-miR-281-3p
Source: miRBase by way of RNAcentral